This 21-nucleotide non-coding RNA is filed under the name Caenorhabditis elegans. The record is from RNAcentral. Lineage: Eukaryota; Metazoa; Nematoda; Chromadorea; Rhabditida; Rhabditidae.
UUUUUUCACUACUGCAGCUUC